ACCUCCACCAAGCAUUCAUGGAAAACCUGGGACGUAAAUAGGGAACUGUGCUUGGAAAGUACAGAGAUAAAACAAUUCUGGCCCCACCUCGCAAGGAGCUUACAGCCUUAAAAAGAAUGAUCAUAGAAACUCUUAGGUACAAAUGGAAACUGCUUGCUAAAUACAAGAACUACUAAAAUAUUACAUGACCCAAGAGAAUGGGCCAAUGCUGAAGCCCAUGUCAGCUAAGGCUGAGAUCCCAUGCGAGGCCCAAGAAAACUAGAAGUAGUGGAGGUCAAAUCUCGGCAAAUCACUAUCCGCUGGGAGCCAUUUGGAUAUAAUGUAACUCGUUGCCACAGUUAUAAUCUCACUGUCCACUACUGUUACCAAGUUGGAGGACAAGAACAAGUGCGAGAAGAAGUAAGCUGGGAUACAGAAAACUCACACCCUCAACACACGAUCACUAACCUGUCACCAUACACCAAUGUCAGUGUGAAACUGAUCCUCAUGAACCCAGAGGGCCGGAAGGAAAGCCAAGAACUCAUAGUGCAGACAGAUGAAGACCUCCCAGGUGCUGUUCCCACUGAAUCCAUACAAGGAAGUACCUUUGAAGAGAAGAUAUUUCUUCAGUGGAGAGAACCAACUCAAACAUAUGGUGUAAUCACUUUAUAUGAGAUCACCUACAAAGCAGUCAGUUCCUUUGACCCAGAAAUAGAUUUAUCCAAUCAGAGUGGAAGAGUUUCAAAGCUGGGAAAUGAAACCCAUUUUCUGUUUUUUGGACUGUAUCCGGGGACCACAUACUCCUUUACCAUCCGAGCUAGCACAGCUAAGGGUUUUGGGCCUCCAGCAACAAACCAGUUCACCACCAAAAUAUCAGCACCUUCUAUGCCAGCUUAUGAACUUGAGACACCUUUGAAUCAAACUGACAAUACCGUGACAGUCAUGCUGAAACCUGCCCACAGCAGAGGAGCACCUGUCAGUGUCUAUCAAAUAGUUGUUGAGGAAGAACGUCCUCGAAGAACUAAAAAGACGACAGAAAUCUUAAAGUGCUACCCAGUGCCAAUUCACUUCCAGAAUGCUUCUCUGCUGAACUCACAGUACUACUUUGCUGCAGAAUUUCCUGCAGA
Molecule: small RNA, 1106 nt
Filed under: Pan troglodytes (chimpanzee)
Lineage: Eukaryota; Metazoa; Chordata; Mammalia; Primates; Hominidae
Description: processed transcript
Source: RNAcentral